Molecule: non-coding RNA, 444 nt
Organism: Salmo salar (Atlantic salmon)
Lineage: Eukaryota; Metazoa; Chordata; Actinopteri; Salmoniformes; Salmonidae
Source: RefSeq, a predicted model, not a curated record
CAGCAUUCUCCCACUCUCUCAUCCUCUCAGCAUUCUCACAAUCUCUCUCAUCCACAGACUCUCUCUCAUCCUCAGACUCUCUGUCAUCCUCAGACUCUCUGUCAUCCUCUCGCUGAAGCACAGCGCUCAAAGCAGUAAUAUGGCAGUUCUUCUCUUCAUUGCAACAAUCUGCUUGGGCUACGCAGCAGCAUUCUCAGAGGUACCCGUGGACUGCUGUCUGUCAACCACUGACAUCCGUUUCCCUCGCCACUUUAAGAUGGUCUCCUACCUGCUGCAGACCACAGACAGAGGCUGUGACAUCGAUGCCACUGUGUUUAUCACCAAGACAGGGGUGAGACUGUGCUCGCCCCAUCCCACAGAGAGCAAGUGGGUGGCAGACUACGUGAAACGUCUGGAGCGAACCAUUUCCCUCCGGAGAGCUAACUCACUUCAGGAGUAAAUCAG